AAACAAAGUUAUUUCCAACAACAACGACCGACGGUGAUGGCGACGCAUGGUUGAAGGAUUGCAAUGUUCGGGUUUUUUACAUAUCAUAAAACUUCGAUUCGCGAUCCUCUGCCUGGUUUGCUUAGAAACAAAGUUAUUUCCAACAACAACGCACAGUGUUCGGGGUAAGUGAUUUGUUUUGAAAGCAUUGUUGUUUUUUCGAGAAACUGUUUUUCAGUUGAAUUCCAUUGUUCAUAGUGUCAACAAGUGAGUAAAGCUUAAAAUUAUUAAAAAGAGUUUAGAAAAUAAAUUAUAAGCGUAAAAAAGUGAAUAUUUAGGUAAAUUGGUAGGUAAUUGUGUUCAAAUGGACAAGGAAAAUAUUCAGGCUUCCGGAUCUAAACAGUCGGCAAUGGACUCCAUUGAAUUUUCACCCACAAAGCAGCCAAGGCGGAUUUUUAAGAAAACGAAUCAACAAGAUAUGAUAGACGAAAUGAGAGCGGACAUUAAACGUUUGUGUGUCACCACGGAGCAGGUAAAAAAUGGGAUCUUCACAUUGGCAGCAUUUUUUUCAAUAAAAUCAUAAAAAUUUA
Eupeodes corollae is the source of this 569-nucleotide long non-coding RNA. RefSeq lists it as uncharacterized. The record is from RefSeq and is a predicted model, not a curated record. Lineage: Eukaryota; Metazoa; Arthropoda; Insecta; Diptera; Syrphidae. The transcript has 3 exons.